RNAcentral lists this long non-coding RNA (533 nucleotides) under Manihot esculenta (cassava). RNAcentral describes it as "long non-coding RNA (MESC_LNC004837)". The record is from RNAcentral. Lineage: Eukaryota; Viridiplantae; Streptophyta; Magnoliopsida; Malpighiales; Euphorbiaceae.
UUCAGUGAGUUAGCUGCGUCAGUGUUAGGCGAGCGUCAGCCAAAGGUGAGUAGAACUGAACCGUCUUUUCAAAGUAAUCAAACUUUUUAUCAUGUUCACGCAUCACGAAUGCCAUGUUUAUAUUAGGAUGCUUGUAUUAGAAUUCAUGAAUAUGAUGCAUUACAUAAUUUAUUGUUGAUGUGGAUAGAUAUUGGAUGACCCACUAGCCCUCGAGAUGUUAUGAUAUGAUAUGAUACGGAAAGACCAGGGCUUGCCCAUUCUACGCCCCUAGCACGAUGUAAGGGAAAGACCAGGGCUUGCCCAUUCUACGCCCCUGGCAUUAUGGAUAUGUUAUGUUAUGUUUAAGCGAAAGUCCUGAGGAGCUCCGUCGAGGGCCGGGCACAUUGGAAUAUGUAGAGGGUUACUGGUGACAAGUCCAUCUUGAUGUGAAUUGUUUGUGUUGUGAUGCAUUUCAUACGAACAUAUGUUUAUUAAAUUGUUUUUAUGUUCUGCUCACUAGGCUCUUGUAGCUUAUCCCUUUCCCCUAACCCCAG